This 440-nucleotide ribosomal RNA is filed under the name uncultured bacterium. RNAcentral's name for it is "partial 16S ribosomal RNA". It matches the Rfam family "Bacterial small subunit ribosomal RNA", at positions 338 to 795 of the family's 1533-position model. The record is from RNAcentral.
CCUACGGGUGGCAGCAGUGGGGAAUAUUGCACAAUGGGGGAAACCCUGAUGCAGCGACGCCGCGUGAGUGAAGAAGUAAUUCGUUAUGUAAAGCUCUAUCAGCAGGGAAGAAAAUGACGGUACCUGAGUAAGAAGCCCCGGCUAACUACGUGCCAGCAGCCGCGGUAAUACGUAGGGGGCAAGCGUUAUCCGGAUUUACUGGGUGUAAAGGGAGCGUAGACGGCAGUGCAAGUCUGGAGUGAAAGGCGGGGGCUCAACCCCCGGACUGCUCUGGAAACUGUACGGCUGGAGUGCAGGAGAGGUAAGUGGAAUUCCUAGUGUAGCGGUGAAAUGCGUAGAUAUUAGGAGGAACACCAGUGGCGAAGGCGGCAUGCCGGCUUCCGACUGACGCUGAAGCACGAAAGCGUGGGGAUCGAACAGGAUUAGAUACCCCUGUAGUC